Molecule: ribosomal RNA, 207 nt
Filed under: uncultured bacterium
Lineage: Bacteria
Description: partial 16S ribosomal RNA
Rfam family: Bacterial small subunit ribosomal RNA
Source: RNAcentral
GGCGCAGACGGGAGAUUAAGUCAGUUGUGAAAGUUUGCGGCUCAACCGUAAAAUUGCAGUUGAUACUGGUUUCCUUGAGUGCAGUUGAGGCAGGCGGAAUUCGUGGUGUAGCGGUGAAAUGCUUAGAUAUCACGAAGAACCCCGAUUGCGAAGGCAGCUUGCUAAACUGUAACUGACGUUCAUGCUCGAAGGUGUGGGUAUCAAACA